RNAcentral lists this transfer RNA (101 nucleotides) under Daldinia sp. EC12. Its description in RNAcentral is "tRNA-Arg". It matches the Rfam family "tRNA". From Rfam's summary of the family: Transfer RNA (tRNA) molecules are approximately 80 nucleotides in length. The record is from RNAcentral. Lineage: Eukaryota; Fungi; Ascomycota; Sordariomycetes; Xylariales; Hypoxylaceae.
GCCGCACUAGAGAAAUGGUUAACUCGUCGGCCUCCUAUUUCCCCUAUGGAAAUUAGAGUCAGCACAGCCGAAGAUUCCCGGUUCGAGUCCGGGGUGUGGUG